This 199-nucleotide unclassified non-coding RNA is filed under the name uncultured Sebacina. RNAcentral describes it as "sequence contains ITS2". Lineage: Eukaryota; Fungi; Basidiomycota; Agaricomycetes; Sebacinales; Sebacinaceae. The record is from RNAcentral.
UACUCUCACUCUCCCGAUACUUUUGGAUCGGGAGUGGUGGACUUGGGUGCUGCUGCUUAACUGUGGCUCGCCUUAAAUGAAGUAGUGCAACUCUCGGUUGGACAUAGUACGGCGUGAUAAGUGUCUUCGCCGGCGCCUCAUUCGAGGGUGGCCGAUCGGGAGCUCUGUGCUUCAAACUGUCUUCGGACAACAUCUGACA